GUGGGGAAUAUUGGACAAUGGGGGGAACCCUGAUCCAGCCAUGCCGCGUGUGUGAAGAAGGCCUUUUGGUUGUAAAGCACUUUAAGCGAGGAGGAGGCUACCGAGAUUAAUACUCUUGGAUAGUGGACGUUACUCGCAGAAUAAGCACCGGCUAACUCUGUGCCAUCAGCCGCGGUAAUACAGAGGGUGCAAGCGUUAAUCGGAUUUACUGGGCGUAAAGCGCGCGUAGGUGGCCAAUUAAGUCAAAUGUGAAAUCCCCGAGCUUAACUUGGGAAUUGCAUUCGAUACUGGUUGGCUAGAGUAUGGGAGAGGAUGGUAGAAUUCCAGGUGUAGCGGUGAAAUGCGUAGAGAUCUGGAGGAAUACCGAUGGCCAAGGCAGCCAUCUGGCCUAAUACUGACACUGAGGUGCGAAAGCAUGGUGAGCAAACAGGAUUAGAUACCCUGGUAGUCC
Molecule: ribosomal RNA, 451 nt
Filed under: uncultured bacterium
Lineage: Bacteria
Description: partial 16S ribosomal RNA
Rfam family: Bacterial small subunit ribosomal RNA
Source: RNAcentral